UACGUAGGGUGCGAGCGUUGUCCGGAAUUAUUGGGCGUAAAGAGCUCGUAGGCGGUCUGUCGCGUCGGUCGUGAAAACUUGGGGCUUAACCCUGAGCUUGCGGUCGAUACGGGCAUGACUGGAGUUCGGCAGGGGAGACUGGAAUUCCUGGUGUAGCGGUGAAGUGCGCAGAUAUCAGGAGGAACACCGGUGGCGAAGGCGGGUCUCUGGGCUGGAACUGACGCUGAGGAGCGAAAGCGUGGGGAGCGAACAGG
Molecule: ribosomal RNA, 254 nt
Filed under: uncultured bacterium
Lineage: Bacteria
Description: partial 16S ribosomal RNA
Rfam family: Bacterial small subunit ribosomal RNA
Source: RNAcentral